Molecule: ribosomal RNA, 506 nt
Filed under: uncultured bacterium
Lineage: Bacteria
Description: partial 16S ribosomal RNA
Rfam family: Bacterial small subunit ribosomal RNA
Source: RNAcentral
AGUGAACGCUGGCGGUAGGCCUAACACAUGCAAGUCGAACGGCAGCACAGGAGAGCUUGCUCUCUGGGUGGCGAGUGGCGGACGGGUGAGGAAUACAUCGGAAUCUACUCUGUCGUGGGGGAUAACGUAGGGAAACUUACGCUAAUACCGCAUACGACCUACGGGUGAAAGCAGGGGACCUUCGGGCCUUGCGCGAUUGAAUGAGCCGAUGUCGGAUUAGCUAGUUGGCGGGGUAAAGGCCCACCAAGGCGACGAUCCGUAGCUGGUCUGAGAGGAUGAUCAGCCACACUGGAGAUGAGACACGGUCCAGACUCCUACGGGAGGCAGCAGUGGGGAAUAUUGGACAAUGGGCGCAAGCCUGAUCCAGCCAUACCGCGUGGGUGAAGAAGGCCUUCGGGUUGUAAAGCCCUUUUGUUGGGAAAGAAAUCCAGCUGGCUAAUACCCGGUUGGGAUGACGGUACCCAAAGAAUAAGCACAGGCUAACUUCGUGCCAGCCGCCGCGGUAA